This 327-nucleotide long non-coding RNA is filed under the name Cricetulus griseus (Chinese hamster). Its description in RNAcentral is "lncRNA (ENSCGRG00015033993.1)". The record is from RNAcentral. Lineage: Eukaryota; Metazoa; Chordata; Mammalia; Rodentia; Cricetidae.
GUCUUCAGGCACCAUUAUGCAGGAAACGGCCCCCUACAUAUCCCCCUUUUUUUAUUAAUUAAUGAUAAGGCUUUAUAUUUUUACAAGCAAAUAGGUCACCCAUAUGUUGAGGGAUAGAGGUAGAGGUUGUACCUUCCCAAAAUCAAACAUUAAGACUGUGUACGUUAGUGCUUCGGGUCAAGCUAACAGCCUAGUUGCGACUCCCGUACACAGUCUUAAUGUUUGAUUUUGGGAAGGUUCAACCUCUGCCUCUAUCCCUCAACAUAUGGGUGACCUAUUUGCUUGUAAAAAUAUAAAGCCUUAUCAUUAAUUAAUAAAAAAAGGGGG